UAUGAAGGUAUUUUUGGUAUUUGCACUGCAUGUGGGCCAAUGCCAUGCAUAUACACGCAAAUCAUCAGGUGUGUCCACUCGAUACACUCACACGCACACACGGGCACAGACAGAACGCAAAAAGCUGAAUAGCCAAGCUUGUGUGUGCUUAGUUUGGCUUGCGUGUGUGUUUAACUAUGCAUGUUUUUAUGUACAUAUCUGGUGCUGCUGCUGUCAAGCACAAUUUAAAUAUUGACGACCUUCGGGGACAUGAUGCUGCCUUCAAGGCUACAGC
RNAcentral lists this small RNA (274 nucleotides) under Drosophila mojavensis. Its description in RNAcentral is "GI26955". Lineage: Eukaryota; Metazoa; Arthropoda; Insecta; Diptera; Drosophilidae. The record is from RNAcentral.